CAUGCGAGUCAUAUGUUCUUCGUGAACAUGGCGUACUGCUCAGUAACACGUGGAUAACCUGCCCUUGGGUCCGGCAUAACCCCGGGAAACUGGGGAUAAUUCCGGAUAACGCACAUAUGCUGGAAUGCUUUAUACGUCAAAUGGAUUCGUCUGCCCAAGGAUGGGUCUGCGGCCUAUCAGGUAGUAGUGGGUGUAAUGUACCUACUAGCCGACGACGGGUACGGGUUGUGAGAGCAAGAGCCCGGAGAUGGAUUCUGAGACAUGAAUCCAGG
Molecule: ribosomal RNA, 272 nt
Filed under: uncultured archaeon
Lineage: Archaea
Description: partial 16S ribosomal RNA
Rfam family: Archaeal small subunit ribosomal RNA
Source: RNAcentral